CCUACGGGUUGCAGCAGUCGAGAAUCUUUCACAAUGGGGGAAACUCUGAUGGUGCGACGCCGCGUGGGGGAAUGAAGGUCUUCGGAUUGUAAACCCCUGUCAUGUGGGAGCACAUUCCAAAGAUAGUACCACAAGAGGAAGAGCCGGCUAACUCUGUGCCAGCAGCCGCGGUAAUACAGAGGUCUCAAGAGUUGUUAGGAACCCCUGGGCGUAAAGCGUGCGUAGGCUGUUUCGUAAGUCGUGUGUGAAAGGCGCGGGCUCAACCCGCGCACGGCACAUGAUACUGCGGGACUAGAGUAAUGUAGGGGGAACCGGAAUUCACGGUGUAGCAGUGAAAUGCGUAGAUAUCGAGAGGAACACUCGUGGCGAAGGCGGGUUCCUGGACAUUAACUGACGCUGAGGCACGAAGGCCAGGGGAGCGAAAGGGAUUAGAUACCCGGGUAGUC
This 446-nucleotide ribosomal RNA is filed under the name uncultured bacterium. RNAcentral describes it as "partial 16S ribosomal RNA". It matches the Rfam family "Bacterial small subunit ribosomal RNA", at positions 338 to 795 of the family's 1533-position model. The record is from RNAcentral.